AUCAGCUUUAUUAUAUUUCACAUAUGAGUAGAAUUUUGUGACUUAUUUUUCUGUUCCUACCAUGCUACCUAGAUCCUCCUAGUAACAGGUGUGUUUCCUAAUAGGGCUUCAGACUCUGACAGCUCCCACGUACCUCCCCAUGAUGGCCCCUGGAGUAUGCUGGGAAAACUGGGAAGCACUUGCUGCAACUCUGAUGGAAGUCUCAUUCAAGAGGAGGACUCCCUGGAGCCCAAUGUUGACAGCACGAGAGAGAUGGGGCAGUAUUAGAGCAGAAGGCAUCAGAUUGGAUCAGCAGGGCUGGUGUGAAGACUCUUAUGUGGAGGAGGUUUUACCAUUGUAUUACUCAGUUCUUAUUGAAGGAAUGGAAGCAGAGUAUGUGAACCUUAGGAAGGUGUAGUAGGAAGCUCAUUCAUCACAGGAGGACACAGGUGACUGCAACCUGCUUUCUUCAUUUCCUGCUGAGUUGGGGACAGUCCCUGCAAGAUGAGCAAAAAGAAGAGGGUAAACCAUCUUGACUAAGAUACCUCAGCUGCAGUGAAGAACCCAACACUUCAUUGUCCAAGCACUUAAGCCCAAGUACUUGAGUCCCAGUGUAGACCACUCCACUCACAUAGUAAGUGACAUAUCAAAUAGUCCUUGCCCCCAACUCAUCUGUAUCCCCAGCACUGAUCCCUAAACUCUCAGGAAAGGAUUCCCUCUUGUUGACUAAGUCACUCCCAUCAGUGACAAAUAUUUGUCAAAAUGAGAAAUAAAUUGACAAAUUUUCUCUUCAGCCAUUUUGUUCAGUUCACCAAAGUUUGGUUACUGCCUCACUUCACUCAAGAAAUCUCUGGUCCAACAAUCUCUCUGUCCAAAUGAGAGCUUCACCAAUGUGCUGAUUUCCCAAGCUGCCUGCAGCAUCAGACCUCACCCUCCUGCCUAUUCAGGCUCUUUUUGCUCUUGACUUUUACUGUUGCCAGUCUCUUCUCACCACAUAAGGUCAAGAGGCUGUAUCCUAACACAAGACCAUAAAGCACAGAUUCUGAACUUUCUCCCACUGUCCACGGACCACACUUCUUAAAACCUAAACUUCUUUCAUGAUACCCCUCUCUUCUCAUUAUAAACAAGAAUCUUAAGUCCAAAUUCUUGGCUCUGAAUCCUAGCCACCUUCACUCAGUCCCACUCACUUUCCUUCCAAACAUCCUUCCCCCAGCUUAGCUGUCACUGCCCCAGCUCCACACUUGGCUGUGCCCUGGACAAUGCUACUGCCUCUCUGACUUCUGCUAGCAUCCAACACAGGCCUCCACUCCCUUAAACCAUUCCCUACAAGGGAUUUCUCAUGUAUCUCAGAUCUUGUACUCACACUUUUGCACAUGAAUUUACUUCUUAGAAAGUAUUAUUUAAUAAAUUCAGUUGCUUUCUAAAGUAAUUGAGAUCAUUCUGAGUUUUAUUAUCUUUGUGUAAACUUGCAUAUAAUUGUUAUUGCCAUUUUGUGGCAUUUAAUGUAGUUUUAAGAUAAUAACUUCACAAUGCAUAUUUGCAAUUCAAAAUUUAGGAGGAAGGCAUUGUCAUAUUCACUUUUUACAUAAGACACAUGAGCUCAUGGGGUCUGCGCUAUGGUGCAAUAGGUUAAUCCUCUGCCUGCAGUGCUGGUGUCCCAUAUGGGCACUGGUUCUAGUCCUGGCUGCUCUUCUUCCAAUACAGCUCUCUGCUGUGGCCUGGGAAAUCAGUAGAAGAUGGUCCAAG
Molecule: non-coding RNA, 1725 nt
Organism: Oryctolagus cuniculus (rabbit)
Lineage: Eukaryota; Metazoa; Chordata; Mammalia; Lagomorpha; Leporidae
Source: RefSeq, a predicted model, not a curated record